ACAGCUUUGAAGGGGGGAAGACAG
Molecule: non-coding RNA, 24 nt
Filed under: Cricetulus griseus (Chinese hamster)
Lineage: Eukaryota; Metazoa; Chordata; Mammalia; Rodentia; Cricetidae
Source: RNAcentral